This 257-nucleotide ribosomal RNA is filed under the name uncultured bacterium. RNAcentral describes it as "partial 16S ribosomal RNA". It matches the Rfam family "Bacterial small subunit ribosomal RNA", at positions 524 to 782 of the family's 1533-position model. The record is from RNAcentral.
UACGUAGGGUGCAAGCGUUGUCCGGAAUUAUUGGGCGUAAAGAGCUCGUAGGCGGUCUGUCGCGUCGGCUGUGAAAACUCGGGGCUCAACUCCGAGCUUGCAGUCGAUACGGGCAGGCUAGAGUUCGGCAGGGGAGACUGGAAUUCCUGGUGUAGCGGUGAAAUGCGCAGAUAUCGGGAGGAACACCGGUGGCGAAGGCGGUUCUCUGGCCUGUACUGACGCUGAGGAGCGAAAGCGUGGGAGCGAACAGGAUUGAG